CUGGAAGCUCCAUCACCACACAGGUGCCACCAUGCCUGGAGCUUUGUGGGACUUUUAGCACCAGGUUCCCUUCCAUGGGAAACAGAGUGACAUCUACUUGCUCCUACUGCAGCUGGCUUGCUACAUUGGUUUGCAGUCUCCGUCUCUGGCCUGCUUCACACAGCUGUCCUGAGGUCAUGGUGGUGUCCUGAUGAUUUGUUAUAGGAGAGACUCUGGAACGCCAUGUGAGAAGCUUGCAGGGAUGAACCAUCCAAGCCUGCAGCCAAUGGAGAACAAGUUACAGAGCAGCCUCCGCCCAGCAGAUGAGGUGGAUCCAGCCGUGCAGCCAGAACUGACAACAAAUUUCCUUUUGUCCCAUAUAGGAACUUUUCUUUGCUUCUUAACUUGCCUUAAGGCCAAUUUAUUUGUAUGAACUUAUGUUUCCGAGAAAAGUUGUUCCUUGGGUAAUAUUCAUCUACAAUUUCCCUUCAUUACUAUUUUACUGUAAACAGGAGAGAAUUCAG
This 503-nucleotide long non-coding RNA is filed under the name Homo sapiens (human). RNAcentral describes it as "HSALNT0086892". The record is from RNAcentral. Lineage: Eukaryota; Metazoa; Chordata; Mammalia; Primates; Hominidae.